Molecule: ribosomal RNA, 465 nt
Filed under: uncultured bacterium
Lineage: Bacteria
Description: partial 16S ribosomal RNA
Rfam family: Bacterial small subunit ribosomal RNA
Source: RNAcentral
CCUACGGGAGGCAGCAGUGGGGAAUAUUGCGCAAUGGGCGAAAGCCUGACGCCGCGACGCCGCGUGCGGGAUGAAGGUCUUCGGAUCGUAAACCUCUGUCAGCAGGGAAGCACGGUCACUGUGCUAAUCAGCAGUGAAUUGACGGUACCUGCACAGGCAGCACCGGCUAACUCCGUGCCAGCAGCCGCGGUAAUACGGAGGGUGCGAGAGUUAAUCGGAAUUACUGGGCGUAAAGCGCUCGUAGGCGGUAUGUCAAGUCAAGGGUGAAAUCCCCGCGCUCAACGUGGGAACUGCCUUUGAAACUGGCAGACUGGAGUGUGUGAGAGGAUAGUGGAAUUCCAGGUGUAGGAGUGAAAUCCGUAGAUAUCUGGAGGAACAUCAGUGGCGAAGGCGACUAUCUGGCACAUAACUGACGCUGAGGAGCGAAAGCGUGGGUAGCAAACAGGAUUAGAUACCCUUGUAGUC